Non-coding RNA from Schistosoma curassoni, 45 nucleotides. Lineage: Eukaryota; Metazoa; Platyhelminthes; Trematoda; Strigeidida; Schistosomatidae. The record is from Rfam.
AUCCAGCUGAAGAGUUUUAAAUAGGACGAAACGUGCGUCCUGGAU